Molecule: ribosomal RNA, 389 nt
Filed under: uncultured bacterium
Lineage: Bacteria
Description: bacterial SSU rRNA
Rfam family: Bacterial small subunit ribosomal RNA
Source: RNAcentral
AUUGAACGCUGGCGGCGUGCUUAACACAUGCAAGUCGAGCGGUAACAGGUGUAGCAAUACAUGCUGACGAGCGGCGAACGGGUGAGUAAUGCUUCGGAAUCUUCCUCGUAGUGGGGAAUAACCUGGGGAAACUCAGGCUAAUACCGCAUACGAACUACGGUUGAAAGCAGGGGAUCGCAAGACCUUGCGCUAUGAGAUGAGCCGAAGUCGGAUUAGCUAGUUGGUGAGGUAAAGGCUCACCAAGGCGACGAUCCGUAGCUGGUCUGAGAGGACGACCAGCCACACUGGGACUGAGACACGGCCCAGACUCCUACGGGAGGCAGCAGUGGGGAAUAUUGGACAAUGGGCGCAAGCCUGAUCCAGCCAUGCCGCGUGAGUGAAGAAGGCCU